AGCAUACUAACGAAGAGGGUGACAGCAAAUACGCAUCCACUUUAAUAAUAAAAUUUACUCUGAAAAUCGUCAUUAUGAUUAAAGCCAGAAUAUCAUAUUCACCAAAGCUGGAAAAUGAAAGAUCUGAAUACUUUAAACUUUAAUUAUUUAUGUUAAUCAAGAUGUUAAUUUUUGAAAAUGUAAUCA
Molecule: long non-coding RNA, 186 nt
Organism: Centruroides sculpturatus (bark scorpion)
Lineage: Eukaryota; Metazoa; Arthropoda; Arachnida; Scorpiones; Buthidae
Exons: 3
Source: RefSeq, a predicted model, not a curated record